Molecule: RNA transcript, 3494 nt
Organism: Peromyscus californicus insignis
Lineage: Eukaryota; Metazoa; Chordata; Mammalia; Rodentia; Cricetidae
Gene: Ptrh1
Gene name: peptidyl-tRNA hydrolase 1 homolog
Exons: 6
Source: RefSeq, a predicted model, not a curated record
GACGUCAAGGGGCGGGGUCCUGGCCGUGAAUUGGGGCGGCAUGGCGCCGUCCGGCCCUUUUCGCUCCGGGAUGCGGCGGAGUUGGGCUUUGAGGCAGCGCGUUUCGGACGCUCGGUUCCCCGGGAGGCGGUGGCUGGUAGCUGGCCUGGGGAACCAUGGGAUGCCUGACACACGGCACAGCGUGGGUAUGGCGGUGCUGGGGCAAAUAGCGAGGCGACUGGGAGUGGCCGAGAGCUGGGCUCGCGACUCUCGCUGCGCUGCCGACCUUGCCCUGGCCCCGUUCGGGGAUGCCCAGUUGGUAUUGCUCCGGCCACGGCGCCUCAUGAACGUCAAUGGGCGCAGCGUGGCCCAAGCCGCGGAGCUGUUUGGGCUGGCUGCGGAGGAGAUCUAUCUGGUGCAUGAUGAACUUGACAAGCCCCUGGGGAAGCUGGCUCUGAAGCUGGGGGGCAGCGCAAGAGGCCACAAUGGAGUCCGGUCCUGCAUUAGCUGUCUGAACUCCAGUGCAAUGCCGAGGCUGCGGGUGGGCAUUGGGCGCCCCACACACUCUAGUAUGAUACAGGCCCACGUCCUGGGCUGCUUUUCCCCUGAGGAGCAGGAGCUACUGUCUCCGUUGCUGGAUCAGGCCACUGACCUGCUUCUGGACCACAUCCGUGCUCGAAGCCGGGAGCCAUCGUCUGGCCUCUGACACCAGUGGACUUAUCUACCUGUUUGACUGCCUGCCGGUACCCUGAAGCCCAGGCACAGCCACAGAACUGCCAUGACACAUGUGGCAUUCUGGUGACAGACAGGACACAGUGGCUGGCUGACGUCUUCCAGGAGGAGUGUUGUGAAACAGGGCAUCACCCCCCGAACCUCAGCUUCCUCGCCUGUAAAGUGGCAGGGACCAGCUAACACAGGCCCAGGAGAGGCCUGGCGUGAUUGCGAGACUGUCUUCACUGGUCUGCCUCCACGGCGAGUCUUGUCGGAGCUGGUGGGAUGUGCUGCAGACUGUCCUCCGAGCCUACUGCUGCCAUCUUCGUGAGUGGGCCCGCUUGCAAAGACUAUUUCAGCCGAGCUCAUUGACUGCUGACCCUCCCUCACAGGAGAGGAUGGGAGGGCCACUGGACCCUCCUGUGCAUCCAGCCACCCCUCCCAAGCAGCCAUAUACAAUCCUGCCCUAACUGCACAUGACCUCAGGAAGGGGCUAGUAUACCCAGGUUGGGGAAACUAGGCAAGGGGCUCCAUCUGUGUAGCCAUGGGGAAGUCAUCCCUCCCAUUUCCUGUGAGAUGGCUUUGUUUCCCCAUGCUCCCACUUGUGACCCCUCACUCAGGCUCUGUGAGUACACUCAAUAAACUCAAUGGGUCCCUGGGGGGACCUGUGGUGGGAUCAAACUUUGACUUGUCAUUGGGACCUUAGAGAAGUGGGUAGUGUUGCCUAGGAUGCUCCCCACCACCACCCUGGGCAAAAAUUCUUGGUACAUGUGCAAGAUCUACAAAGUAGCCUUUGUUAUGAUUUAUUGCACAAGGGGACCCUGAGGGCAUCCUGCACGUUCAGGGAAACAUGCUGGCAUGCGGGGCAGAUGCAGCAGCCGUCUGGCGGGUGACCCAUUCCAUGCGGGCAUGGCGGUGGGGCAGCAGGUGGACAUUCACAACCCAGAGGCUGCAUCCGCGUGGAAAUGGUUUAUUAUAAUAGAGAGACAAAGAGAAGGAAGGAGAGAGAGAGAGAGAAGGAAAGAGAGAAGGAGGGGGUCGAGGGGUGCACACCCCAUGGGAGUGGAGGGGGAGGAGAGAGAAAGGGGUGGAGUUUUUCAUUAAAGAGACUUUUAUGUCAGGACACAGGGUGGCGCCAAGGGGCGGGACCAAAAUGUUAACAGCCUUGAGUUGGUACAUUCCUACAUACAGUGAAGGUGUCAUUUCCUGUUACCCAGGCAGGAUAACGUACAGAGAUUUAUUUUUGUGUAUGUGGAUAUUUUGCCUGCAUGUCUAUGUGCAGUGCCCAUGGAGGCCAGAAGAGGGAGUCGGAUCCUUGGGAACUGGAUUCCAGGAGGUUGUGACUCACCCUGUGAGUGCUAGGAAUCAAACCCCAGUCCUCUGAAUAGUAGGUGCUCUUACCAGUCCUCUGAAUAGUAGGUGCUCUUACCUGCGGAGCAGUCUUCCCAGCACUAAUUAGCUGCUUUUCCUUGUGUUUUGUGGUGUUUCAAUGAAGUCUAAGGCCUCACACACCAGGUAACUGUUCUGCCUGGCUCCAGAUCCUUUUUUUUAAAUUUUCUCUUUCAUUUUACAUACCAACCCCAGUUCCUCUCUCUUCUUCUCUUGCCUCCCCCUCCUCCCCUAGACCCAACUUAAAGUUCUUAUCUUUUAGUCUUGAAACAGGGUUUCGCUAAGGCUGACCUUGAACUUCUCUGUAGUCUAGGCAGCCCUAGAAUUCCUAGAAUUAAAACUUUACUGUUUUCUCCGCUUCUUAACCAGCUGGGACCACAAGCCUGUGUCCCUAGGGCUGGCUUAUUCAGCUGCUUAUGGAGGUCAAGGGACCUAGCACUUCGCAGCUGUUGGUUGGAGCAUGUGAGAAAGGAGUCUGCUGUGAGAAGUUGAGGCAGGGAGAGACCAGGCUUGACUACAGAACAGCCCUCCGGCGCGAACCACAGUAGCCUCGACAACCCGGUCAUUUCCCUCAGUCUUUGCCAGGACUGCUACACUGAGGGCUGAGCUCCCAGCACAUGACUGUCCAGGGACCAGCCAUAUCCAAACCUCAGCAGGAGAGCAUUUCAUGAGCCCCAUGCCUCUGUGCCCUGUGAGUGGUCAGUUUCUCCAUGUUGGUCUGGUGUCUGCUCCUCUCUGGGCUAACCUCAUAGCAGAUUCCCCAGGUCACAGGACACCCAGCUUCCAAACUGGAGGAGCUCUUUCUACAUGUGGGCUGGGGCAGGCCAAUGAUACUGAUGGAGGGACCGACGUCUCAGGGCUCUAAAUACACCAUGACUACAUACAGAGUCCUGCAGUGUCUGAGGCCAAGGCAUUGUAGAAAGGAACAGGGUGAAAGGCAGCUCGCCUCAUGUCUAGGCAGGUCCUUAUUUACUGUUAUUUAUUCAUUUGAGAGAGUGUCUCACUAUGCAGCCUUGGCUGGACCUGGAACUCAUUAUGUAGACCUGGGUGGCUGAACUCAAAGAGAUCCCCCUGCCUCUGCCUCCCAAAUGUUGGAGAUUAAAGGUGAGUGUUAGCAUGCUUGUCCACUGAGGCAGCAUUUUUUUGCUGCCCAAGGCUAGAGACAGGUCCGGAUGUGAUGUGAUGCAAAUCGUAGUCCCGCAGCUGUGGGAUGGGCAGUCAGACUGGGCACCACGAGUGAGCGCUGAUGUCUUUAUUAGACUCCAAUGCUGCAGUACAGGACGGUACAGAGUGGUACACGGUUGUGCUUCCGUACUCGAGACACUGAGAUUCGAGAAUUUCAAGUUAACAAGUUUCAAGACAGACUAGCUUUUUUUUUUUUUUUAAAUAUCCUUUUGAGAAAUUAUUUAUAUAAA